This 22-nucleotide non-coding RNA is filed under the name Arabidopsis thaliana (thale cress). The record is from RNAcentral. Lineage: Eukaryota; Viridiplantae; Streptophyta; Magnoliopsida; Brassicales; Brassicaceae.
UGGAGGAUAGGUCCGUCAGCCC